CGCGUAGGCGGCGGACCAAGUUAGGCGUGAAAGCCCUGGGCUCAACCCGGGAACUGCGCUUAAGACUGGUUUGCUUGAGUCCGGGAGAGGGUGGUGGAACUCCCAGUGUAGAGGUGAAAUUCGUAGAUAUUGGGAAGAACACCGGUGGCGAAGGCGGCCACCUGGACCGGUACUGACGCUGAGGUGCGAAAGCGUGGGGAGCAAACA
RNAcentral lists this ribosomal RNA (207 nucleotides) under uncultured bacterium. RNAcentral's name for it is "partial 16S ribosomal RNA". It matches the Rfam family "Bacterial small subunit ribosomal RNA", at positions 568 to 774 of the family's 1533-position model. The record is from RNAcentral.